UUGGAGGAUGGACAAUUAGACAACUGUGGGUGGCAAAUCAAAAUUGUUGGAAUAAAAGAGUUCACAGAAUUAAAGCAAAAAGUUUGCAGAUCUCGUAAAAGGUCCAACCUUUAUCACAAUUCCUAUCUAAAUAUAAAGAUGAAUCUUGAUGAGAAUUGAAAUUUAUUUUUAUUUCCGUUGUGUAUGUUAAGUAGAUUCCCAACAAAAGAUACAAGGGAAACAUCCUGUUUUCUGUCAUUUUCACUUGAGCAAUUAAGCCCAAUUUUUUUAUCUUAAUUUUGCAUAUUCCAUCUUUAAUAGAAAUCUCAUAUCACUUUUCUUGAAGUUGGCUAGCACUCAACAAAUUUGCCUUCAAAUUGGGGACAUAAAGAACAUUAGAAAUAGUUUGCAUAGUAUUUCCUUUUGUAUGAAAUGUCACCUUUCCUUUUCCCAUGACAGAGAUAGUGGAAUUAUCUCCAAACUUCAUAGUGUUGCGGAAAGAUUCAUCCAAGUCAAAAAAUGUCGUCUUAUGUGGUUGUUGUAACCACUGUCUAAAUACCACAUAUUUUGUUGACUUUCUUCUUUCAUGUGAGACACCAUCAAAAGAGACACCUCUUCUUCUUUUUCUGCAAAGUUAGUUGUUUCUCCAAGUUGCUUAAUCAAAUUAGUUGACAUUCUAAAUAAAUUUUGGCCAUACCUAUGACAUCUGUAGCACUCAAAAUUGGACUUGUUUGUUGAAUGUGGUUUGUAAAAAGUUGAAUGGUUACCACCACGUCCUCUCCCUCUUCCUAUAAAUUGAUUUUCGUGGUAGCAGCGUUGUUGGUAUUUCUGUUGUUGAUUCCCACGAUAGCAUUGUUCUUGGUAUUGCUGUUGUUGAUUCCACGAUCAUUGUUACCUCUUCCUCCUCUACCUCAAACUUUGCCUCUACCCCUGUUUGCUCUACUUGGAGUUAAGUGAGUUUCUGUUGAGGCCUUUAAUGCUUGCUCUUCCUUUUCGUGUUGGAUAAACUUUUGCUCAUGAACCAACAAUGAACCUUGCAAUUCAUCAAUUGAAAAAUCAUUAAGAUCCAUUGACUCUUCAAUUCAGCAAACCACAUAAUUAUAUUUUGGUAUCAUUGAUCGAAGAAUCUUUUCCACUACAAUUACGUCUUCAAUCUUUUCAACAUGAACUUGCAUUUUGUUGAUAAUCGACACAGUCCUUGAGAAAAAUUCUGANAUCUCACUACCGAAGUA
Molecule: long non-coding RNA, 1211 nt
Filed under: Olea europaea subsp. europaea
Lineage: Eukaryota; Viridiplantae; Streptophyta; Magnoliopsida; Lamiales; Oleaceae
Source: RNAcentral